ACGAACGCUGGCGGCGUGCUUAACACAUGCAAGUCGAGCGGAAAGGCCCUUCGGGGUACUCGAGCGGCGAACGGGUGAGUAACACGUGAGUAACCUGCCCCAGACUUUGGGAUAACCCUCGGAAACGGGGGCUAAUACCGGAUACGACACAGCUUCGCAUGGGGUCUGUGUGGAAAGUUUUUCGGUUUGGGAUGGGCUCGCGGCCUAUCAGCUUGUUGGUGGGGUGAUGGCCUACCAAGGCGACGACGGGUAGCCGGCCUGAGAGGGCGACCGGCCACACUGGGACUGAGACACGGCCCAGACUCCUACGGGAGGCAGCAGUGGGGAAUAUUGCACAAUGGGCGGAAGCCUGAUGCAGCGACGCCGCGUGAGGGAUGACGGCCUUCGGGUUGUAAACCUCUUUCAGCAGGGACGAAGCGUAAGUGACGGUACCUGCAGAAGAAGCGCCGGCAAACUACGUG
This 461-nucleotide ribosomal RNA is filed under the name uncultured bacterium. RNAcentral describes it as "partial 16S ribosomal RNA". It matches the Rfam family "Bacterial small subunit ribosomal RNA", at positions 29 to 507 of the family's 1533-position model. The record is from RNAcentral.